RNAcentral lists this ribosomal RNA (344 nucleotides) under uncultured bacterium. RNAcentral describes it as "bacterial SSU rRNA". It matches the Rfam family "Bacterial small subunit ribosomal RNA", at positions 554 to 896 of the family's 1533-position model. The record is from RNAcentral.
UCUGGGCGUAAGCGCGCGUAGGCGGCUUUGUAGACCGAUGUGAAAUCCCGGGCUCAACCUGGGAACUGCCUUGUGAGACUGCAUCGCUAGAGUGCGGGAGAGGGGGGUGGAAUUCCGCGUGUAGCGGUGAAAUGCGUAGAUAUUCGGAGGAACACCGAUGGCGAAGGCGGCCCCCUGGACUGAUACUGACGCUGAUGCGCGAAAGCGUGGGGAGCAAACAGGAUUAGAUACCCUGGUAGUCCACGCCCUAAACGAUGACAACUAGCUGUCGGGGAUCUUGUUCCUUUGGAUGGCGCCUCUAACGCUGUUAGUUUACCCCCCGGGGAGAACCGGCCCCAGAGUUA